CUGGAUUACGUCCUGUACAAGGUCGGCGUGGGGACGAGGUGCGGGGAGGGAAAACGCCACCCGGACGACGGGCCCGACACCUACUGCUCCUUCCCCUGGGCCGAGAUGGUGGUGGAGGAUCUCUGUGCAAACAGGAGGUCCUGCGAGGUCCCCGUCACCGAGCUGGUGUUCGGUGAAUAUCCCUGUAAGGAGCAGACCAGGUACCUGGAGGUGACCUACACCUGCGCCAAACCACCUCCUCCCCCUCCACCACCACCUCCUCCAACCAAGCCUGACUGUGAAGACAAACCGGCCGCUGAAGCCUGAUGCCUCUAAAAACUUUAUUGUUCAUCGCCGUGGACAGAACAGUCUGAAGACACGUCACCUCCACGUCAGUGCUGACGAUGAUAUUUAAAAAUGAAAUAUUGAUAAUGUGUUAAUGACAUCAUGACGGCAGAUGUUUGGCCUCGCGGGUCUGUUGUUUAUCACGUCAUCUUGUCGCCUUUUCACGAGCCACUCGGUGUAACUGUUGUCAUGGUUACAGACUCUCUCUCCACCCCCGACACUCGGAUCUGAGUCUGACCUCACCAUUCACCUGACGAGAAAGAGACAAAACACAAAGUUAAAGAUGAAUUCUUUCUCCAUAGAUAUUGUGAUUAUGUCGUCAGUUAAAAUCUGAUAUUGUGAGAUCUUAAAUAAUCUGCUGAUGUUUUAUAAUGUCUCUAUGUCUCUAUAAAACUUAUCUCAUUUAAAGUCAAUAAAAUAAAUACUCAGUGAAACAGAUCGUGUU
Molecule: long non-coding RNA, 769 nt
Organism: Seriola aureovittata
Lineage: Eukaryota; Metazoa; Chordata; Actinopteri; Carangiformes; Carangidae
Exons: 3
Source: RefSeq, a predicted model, not a curated record